Molecule: unclassified non-coding RNA, 318 nt
Filed under: plant metagenome
Description: partial contains 5.8S ribosomal RNA, internal transcribed spacer 2, and large subunit ribosomal RNA
Rfam family: 5.8S ribosomal RNA (bases 1-103)
Source: RNAcentral
AAUGCGAUAAGUAGUGUGAAUUGCAGAAUUCAGUGAAUCAUCGAAUCUUUGAACGCACAUUGCGCCCGCCAGUAUUCUGGCGGGCAUGCCUGUUCGAGCGUCAUUACAACCCUCAGGCCCCCGGGCCUGGCGUUGGGGAUCGGCGGAAGCCCCCUGCGGGCACAACGCCGUCCCCCAAAUACAGUGGCGGUCCCGCCGCAGCUUCCAUUGCGUAGUAGCUAACACCUCGCAACUGGAGAGCGGCGCGGCCACGCCGUAAAACACCCAACUUCUGAAUGUUGACCUCGAAUCAGGUAGGAAUACCCGCUGAACUUAAGC